Molecule: ribosomal RNA, 406 nt
Filed under: uncultured bacterium
Lineage: Bacteria
Description: partial 16S ribosomal RNA
Rfam family: Bacterial small subunit ribosomal RNA
Source: RNAcentral
AUUGAACGCUGGCGGCAGGCCUAACACAUGCAAGUCGAGCGUGCGGCGCACGGUUCUGUACUGUCUGGCAAACUUCCUGAUGUCGGGGUCUAACUACUGGAAACGGUAUCUAAUACCCCAUACCAUCAUAUGUGCCCCUAUGGGAUUAGCUAGUAGGUGGGGUAAUGGCUCACCUAGGCGACGAUCCCUAGCGGGUCUGAGAGGAUGACCAGCCACACUGGAACUGAGACACGGUCCAGACUCCUACGGGAGGCAGCAGUGGGGAAUAUUGCACAAUGGGCGCAAGCCUGAUGCAGCCAGGCCGCGGGUGUGAAGAAGGCCUUCGGGUUGUAAAGCACUUUCAGCGGGGAGGCGGUAGCCGAAGAAGAAGCACCGGCUAACUCCGUGCCAGCAGCCGCGGUAAUAG